RNAcentral lists this transfer RNA (77 nucleotides) under Ruminococcus callidus. Its description in RNAcentral is "tRNA-Ile". It matches the Rfam family "tRNA". From Rfam's summary of the family: Transfer RNA (tRNA) molecules are approximately 80 nucleotides in length. Their secondary structure includes four short double-helical elements and three loops (D, anti-codon, and T loops). The record is from RNAcentral. RNAcentral also lists the same sequence under 4 other names. Lineage: Bacteria; Bacillati; Bacillota; Clostridia; Eubacteriales; Oscillospiraceae.
GGGCCAUUAGCUCAGUUGGUUAGAGCUACCGGCUCAUAACCGGUCGGUCCUGGGUUCGAGUCCCCGAUGGCCCACCA